Molecule: ribosomal RNA, 253 nt
Filed under: uncultured bacterium
Lineage: Bacteria
Description: partial 16S ribosomal RNA
Rfam family: Bacterial small subunit ribosomal RNA
Source: RNAcentral
UACGGAGGUGGCAAGCGUUGUCCGGAUUUACUGGGCGUAAAGAGCGCGCAGGCGGUCGAUCAAGUCGAGUGUGAAAGCCCUUGGCUCAACUGAGGAAGUGCACCCGAAACUGAGUGGCUAGAGUACGAAAGAGGGUCGCGGAAUUCCCGGUGUAGAGGUGAAAUUCGUAGAUAUCGGGAGGAACACCGGUGGCGAAGGCGGCGACCUGGGUCGAUACUGACGCUGAUGCGCGAAAGCGUGGGGAGCAAACAGG